RNAcentral lists this long non-coding RNA (286 nucleotides) under Spirodela polyrhiza (greater duckweed). Its description in RNAcentral is "long non-coding RNA (SPOL_LNC002162)". The record is from RNAcentral. Lineage: Eukaryota; Viridiplantae; Streptophyta; Magnoliopsida; Alismatales; Araceae.
ACAUAUCAAUGAGUUAUAGUAAGAUUGAUAGUGAUGAUUAUCAAUGUACACUUGGGACCAGGAAAAAAGUUUCUUUAAUGCCACGUGCUCAUCGUGCUGUACAAAAAGCUAAUACCGUCCAGUCGAAUAUUUUUUAUCGUAAGAAAUGAGAUCAACCUGCAAGAUAUAACUGUUAUAAUUUUGACGGUUAAAAUAUUUUUUUCCAUUGUUUUCUUCAUGACAGAUUAUUUACAUAAUGAAAAAAGGGACAAGUACUGCGGCUCUUUUUUCUUAUGUCAUCAUAUUG